RNAcentral lists this small RNA (88 nucleotides) under Salmonella enterica. Its description in RNAcentral is "partial RtT sRNA". It matches the Rfam family "RtT RNA", at positions 1 to 84 of the family's 130-position model. From Rfam's summary of the family: This family represents a bacterial cis-regulatory element known as RtT RNA. The exact function of RtT is unknown although it is thought that it may be involved in changing the cellular response in relation to amino acid starvation. The record is from RNAcentral. Lineage: Bacteria; Pseudomonadati; Pseudomonadota; Gammaproteobacteria; Enterobacterales; Enterobacteriaceae.
UGUAUCGGAAGCCUGACGAGGAUGAGAACCUCCGGGGGCAAGAGGUUCGACUCGAGCGCAGCGAGAGAACGUUGCGUCAGCAACGGCC